UGCCUUAGUAACGGCGAGUGAAGCGGCAACAGCUCAAAUUUGAAAGCUGGCCCUUUCAGGGUCCGCGUUGUAAUUUGUAGAGGAUGAUUCGGCGAGGGCUCCCGCCUAAGUCCCCUGGAACGGGGCGUCAUAGAGGGUGAGAAUCCCGUAUGCGGUGGGCUGCCUUAGCCAUGUGAAUCUCCUUCGACGAGUCGAGUUGUUUGGGAAUGCAGCUCUAAAUGGGAGGUAAAUUUCUUCUAAAGCUAAAUACCGGCCAGAGACCGAUAGCGCACAAGUAGAGUGAUCGAAAGAUGAAAAGCACUUUGGAAAGAGAGUUAAAAAGUACGUGAAAUUGUUGAAAGGGAAGCGCUUGCAACCAGACUUGUCCGCAGUUGCUCAGCCGGUCUCCUGACCGGCGUACUCUUCUGCGGCCAGGCCAGCAUCAGUUCGGGCGGUCGGAUAAAGACCUCGGGAAUGUGGCUCCUCUCGGGGAGUGUUAUAGCCCGGGGUGGAAUGCGGCCAGCCUGGACUGAGGAUCUCGCUUCGGCAAGGAUGCUGGCGUAAUGGUUGUAAGCGGCCCGUCUUGAAACACGGACCAAGGAGUCUAACAUCUAUGCGAGUGUUUGGGUGUCAAACCCAUACGCGUAAUGAAAGUGAACGGAGGUGGGAACCCGCAAGGGCGCACCAUCGGCCGAUCCUGAUGUCUUCGGAUGGAUUUGAGCAAGAGCAUAGCUGUUGGGACCCGAAAGAUGGUGAACUAUGCCUGAAUAGGGUGAAGCCAGAGGAAACUCUGGUGGAGGCUCGCAGCGGUUCUGACGUGCAAAUCGAUCGUCAAAUUUGGGUAUAGGGGCGAAAGACUAAUCGAACCAU
Molecule: ribosomal RNA, 849 nt
Filed under: Diplodia corticola
Lineage: Eukaryota; Fungi; Ascomycota; Dothideomycetes; Botryosphaeriales; Botryosphaeriaceae
Also listed under: 1 other name
Description: eukaryotic LSU rRNA
Rfam family: Eukaryotic large subunit ribosomal RNA
Source: RNAcentral